AAUGAACGCUGGCGGCAUGCCUAACACAUGCAAGUCGAACGAAGGCUUCGGCCUUAGUGGCGCACGGGUGCGUAACGCGUGGGAAUCUGCCCUUGGGUUCGGAAUAACAGUUAGAAAUGACUGCUAAUACCGGAUGAUGUCGUAAGACCAAAGAUUUAUCGCCCAAGGAUGAGCCCGCGUAGGAUUAGCUAGUUGGUGAGGUAAAGGCCUACCAAGGCGACGAUCCUUAGCUGGUCUGAGAGGAUGAUCAGCCACACUGGGACUGAGACACGGCCCAGACUCCUACGGGAGGCAGCAGUGGGGAAUAUUGGACAAUGGGCGAAAGCCUGAUCCAGCAAUGCCGCGUGAGUGAUGAAGGCCUUAGGGUUGUAAAGCUCUUUUACCCGGGAUGAUAAUGACAGUACCGGGAGAAUAAGCUCCGGCUAACUUCGUG
Molecule: ribosomal RNA, 433 nt
Filed under: uncultured bacterium
Lineage: Bacteria
Description: partial 16S ribosomal RNA
Rfam family: Bacterial small subunit ribosomal RNA
Source: RNAcentral